ACGGCGAGUGAAGCGGCAACAGCUCAAAUUUGAAAUCUGGCCCCGCCGGGGUCCGAGUUGUAAUUUGUAGAGAGUGCUUCGGGUGCGACCGCGGUCUAAGUCCAUUGGAACAUGGCGUCAUAGAGGGUGAGAAUCCCGUAUGUGACUGUGGCUCAAGCCCGUGCGAAGCCUCUUCGACGAGUCGAGUUGUUUGGGAAUGCAGCUCAAAAUGGGUGGUAAAUUUCAUCUAAAGCUAAAUACUGGCUGGAGACCGAUAGCGCACAAGUAGAGUGAUCGAAAGAUGAAAAGCACUUUGGAAAGAGAGUCAAACAGUACGUGAAAUUGUUGAAAGGGAAGCGCUUGCAACCAGACCUGUCCGUAGGUGAUCAGCCGCUGUUCUCAGUGGUGCACUCGCUCUGCGAUCAGGCCAGCAUCGGUUCGGGCGGCCGGAUAAAGGCCUUGGGAAUGUACCUCCUCCCGGGGAGUCUUAUAGCCCUCGGUGCAAUGCGGCCAGCCGGGACCGAGGACCGCGCUUCGGCUAGGAUGCUGGCGUAAUGGUUGUAAGCGACCCGUCUUGAAACACGGACCAAGGAGUCUAACAUCUACGCGAGUGUUUGGGUGUUAAACCCAUGCGCGGAAUGAAAGUGAACGGAGGUGAGAACCCUUAAGGGCGCAUCAUCGACCGAUCCAGAUGUCUUCGGAUGGAUUUGAGUAUGAGCGUAGCUGUUGGGACCCGAAAGACAGUGAACUAUGCCUGAAUAGGGUGAAGCCAGAGGAAACUCUGGUGGAGGCUCGCAGCGGUUCUGACGUGCAAAUCGAUCGUCAAAUUUGGGUAUAGGGGCGAAAGACU
This 829-nucleotide ribosomal RNA is filed under the name Nephromopsis ahtii. RNAcentral's name for it is "eukaryotic LSU rRNA". It matches the Rfam family "Eukaryotic large subunit ribosomal RNA", at positions 86 to 932 of the family's 3401-position model. The record is from RNAcentral. Lineage: Eukaryota; Fungi; Ascomycota; Lecanoromycetes; Lecanorales; Parmeliaceae.